GAUAGCCUGCCUUCAUUUUUCUGUAAGAUUUGAUCAUUAAUAAUUAUACUAAGCUAUGUGGAAUUGUUUUAAGAAAUUCAUACCAAGGAUCAUUUUGCUAUUUCAUUUUUAUUGAAGUAUCAAAAAAAUAUCUAAAUGAAUUGAUCAUUUUUGGCCUUACUGCUAUAGCGGUCUUGAAGUUGCGUCACAAAUCACCUAGCAACCGCACCAGGCACCAUGUUGGAAGACGAGUUAGUCUGUUGGAUGGCUGGCUAUUUUUUGCUACCACAGGAAACUUCGGGAAGAUUGCCUAUUAUUUAGUUUUUCAUAAGACCCAGAAAAUGGAGGCAGUGGGAGAACCUAUUAAAAUAGAGAGCCGUCAAACCCUGUCUGCAGAUGAAGUCCCAAGAGAAUAAGGGUACAUCCUUGUAUACCAUGAAUUAUGCUGUAUGUGUACCUACGUUAGCACAUUUUGUGAACAGAAAUACAGUUUAAAAGUCACACAAUGUAUAAACGUAUUACAACUGGAGCUGGCCAACCCUGCUGGGUGUGCCGGCUACUGUUACAGCUCAGCACUAACACACCUGAUUCAAUGUAUCAAACCUAAUUAGUUAAUAAUAGAGUGUGCUAUUGCUGGGCUGGAACAGAAGUCUGCUCCCCUGUGGAUCAGUGGAGAGAGGCUGGUCACCUCUGGUAUUGACUUUUUGUUGUUCACCUAAAAUAAUGAUGCUUUAGUAAUAGCCUACUUGUUAAUAAAGUGUUAGCUUACUUGUACACUUUGAAA
Long non-coding RNA from Salmo salar (Atlantic salmon), 763 nucleotides. RefSeq lists it as uncharacterized. The record is from RefSeq and is a predicted model, not a curated record. NCBI's taxonomy places the organism in Eukaryota, Metazoa, Chordata, Actinopteri, Salmoniformes, Salmonidae.